AAGACUCUAGUAAAUAAUUACAUAGCCCUGUCAGUGCUAAAUAAUAGGUAAACCCCUGUGAGACUUA
Molecule: transfer RNA, 67 nt
Filed under: Goniurosaurus liboensis
Lineage: Eukaryota; Metazoa; Chordata; Lepidosauria; Squamata; Eublepharidae
Description: tRNA-Asp
Source: RNAcentral